AACCCAAAAAACUCAUUAGUUUCAAUUCGACAAAUGCUUGUUAUUAUUGAAAGGGCUAUCCAUCUGUAAUUAUCUGUUGAUGACAUAAAACAUCAUUCCCGCUUUUACUCUUCAUCAAAAAAUUGUAGGAGAGUACCUACUUUUUUAAUGUCAAUUUUUUUAAAAUAUUUAUUCCAACAGGCUUCCAGUCAAACAUAGGACCAAUUCAAAAUAAUUCUUAACAAAAAAAUUUAAAUUCAAUUUUCAACUGUUAAUAUCUUCAAUCUGUAUGUAUAUUUUCGUGAAGUCAAAAAAAGAUUAUGUGUGCCCACUGAUCGAACAAAGGUAUCAACGUUCCGUCUUACAGAGAAAAUCUCAGUUAUAUAACUUAUAGAAUUCUGCAAAAAUACGGAGCCAUUGUUCUUAUGUGGAUUAUAGCCAUUGUACUUAGAUGUUAGUAUUUCCGUUACUACAAGUCAAUCAACAAUGCCCGCUCAAACAUUUAAAUUUGUUGCAAAAUUCAAAUAUGUAAAUAGACGUUAUAGUGAACAAUCUCAUCCUGGAUUAUCAAUUCCAUCUCAAAUGACGGAACCAAUUUUCAAAUAUUGCCAUUUUUUAUAUAACCUAAUCAAAAUUGACUCAAUCCAUAUAGUUUUUUCUACUACAGUCGAUAAUGCGGCGUCAUCAUAAAAAUCUUCCUUUACAAGUGGACCUAUUAUUGAUAAUUUCAAGUUGAAAGUCAGGUGCGUCACCAACUCCGCCAGAAGUAUUGGUUUUACUGCCAUAUCAUUAUUGCCAGAACCAAUAUAACUUACCGAACAGAAUUUUCUUCUGCUUCCAGGUUUUUCUUCCUUUACAUAACUCGAAAACUAUCCUUGUUAAUUUCGUUUUCUAAGUACUCUUCUAGAAUGAUAUUUUCCCAUCUAAAUUCGCAUAAAUUUCUGUGAUCCGAAUAGUUGUCUCAUAUUAAAAAAUGUAAGGAUAAACAGUUAUUUAGCUUUAUAGUAUAAUAUAACGUACAUAAUUGGACAUAAGAUUGUAGGCAGCGGCGAUAAUUAAAAUCUGUGUUCUAAUGUAAUUUUAACAUCAAUAUAAUGAUUAAACUUUAUUAUAGUUUCUUGCGUAAUACUUAACUCAACUGAUUAUCUACUAAGGUUCGUACGAAAUUAUUUACAUACUAAACUACCUCAGAGAAUACAACAUACAUUGGAUGAUAUCUCAUCUUUCUUGAACAGAUUUACAUGUCUAAUAGAUAUGGCGAAUAAUGUUGAGUUUGAAUAGGUUUUGUCGAAACGAUACAAUAGCUACCUGAUUGCUUUUACUUUUUUUUAAAUCAUUAUGUUUUUAUCGAUAUUAUCAAGCAGGGUAGCCAGGGACGGAUUAAAGCUUUACGAGGCCCAGGACUAAAACUUAAGGGCACUAAAAUGUGAUUUUAAAAUUUAAAUUUCCGGGGCCCUCUCAUUAUUGGGGCCUGGAGCUACAGCCCCUGCUAACCCCUCCGUUAAUCCACCCCUGAGAGCAGCCAUGAAAAUUGAUGUAGUUACUUGUAUUCAACUUCGCUGUUUCUUGAAAUUCAUUACAUCUUUGCAACGUCUACUCAUUAUACACGAGCAAUUUUCACAUACAUAAAGAAGGCAUUUAAACUUCUAAUUAAGUAAAAUAACAAUUUUCUAGCUGAUAUAUUUUUAACGAAACUAUAUCUAUUAUCCUCUAACACUUCGGUUUCUAACAUGUAAUUUGGCAAUUCUCCUAUGUAUUUUAAUAAAGACGAGAAACACGGAAAUGGUAUUAAAAAACAAAUAAACGAAUACAAAAAAUAAUUCCGAUCGAGACAUUCUAAAAAAAAUUAAAUAAAACUACUUACAUGUAAAAGAGAGAAUUUUUCCUGGUUUAUUUGUUUAAUAUCCUGAUUUUUUUUCCACCCAUUCUUGUUUUUGUAAACCGCAUUAGCAGUACUUAUAUAUUUCGUAUUGAAAAUGUGUUUUGUAAAAAACGAUUUAUUUGUUUACGUUAUACAAAUCCAUUAAGUUAUACAAAUCCAGUCUUAAUGGUACGGCUUAUGAAUAGAGAAUGACUUACAAACUUAGGAUUUGUCAUAAAGACGACAAAAGUGUCUAUGAAGUGUUCCCGGAUUCCGUGAGAACGGAAAUAUGGGUUUAUCCAGAAUUGGCUGCUGACUUAGCUGUAUCCGUUGGAAGGUGUGUUGGCCUGAUGGCGCAACUCAGUUGUAUUUUUCCGGUAUAUUGGUAUUUAUAGGAUAGAUAGGAUUUUAUAGGUAGAUUGUAAUCUGAUGCACGGUUAUAAAAUUAAUAUUUGUUUUUAGAGGUAUACCAUCAAUUUUUAGUUUUCAUCGCUUCAUGUUUACUAACACUUCUAUAAUUGACUAGGGACAUCCUAUCAAGGAUCAUCCCAUGCGGAAUAACGGGGAUCAAAAUAGAAGGUCCCACGAACCAUUUGUGUUUGCUGGUUUAUUGCCAUAGUUUUCCAAGCCGUACGUGAGAACCGGCAGAAAACAGCUAUUGUACGCACUCUUUUUUAGUUUUAUGCGUAUCAUUUUAUAUUUAAAAAUGAAGUUCAUGUUUCCUGUAUUUUUAUGAGUUGGGUUUAUUUAUAUAAUUUUGAACGCAUCUAAAACAAGUAUUUAUUGAAAUAGUGUAGAGAUGACUCUACUACUGAUACUAAUGGUCAUUGUACAGCGUCUACAUCACCUACCACCAUUAGCAAACUGAAACUUAAAGCCGGCAACCGAAAACUGGCAAAAUCAGUCGAGAUUUAUCUUUCUGAUUAGAUAUGAAAAUAACGAUCUCGUUUCCGACACCAACACGACAUACGUAGAGGCAAGUAUGUUUUUGUUGUUCUUGUUGUUGAAUGAGCACUUAUGUGAUUUCUAAUCUCAUUUCGAGAGACCACUUGCUUCCUGAAUUCAGAUAAGUAUUUGUUUGACGUCAAGUUUUUAAUUAACACGACUUUCAUUGAAACAAUUACAUUUUACCAUCAAAGUAAUGGGAGUAAAGUCUCAUAAAACUUCAGUUUUCAAAAGCUUUUAGGUUAAGUUGCAAUGUCAAUGUAGAUGUGUUUCACAUCAGGCUCAAGUAAACCUCAUAUAAUUUAAAAAUUAGUUUCAUUGAGUGACUCUUUUAUUGAGAGCCUGUGGUUUAUUAGUUCCUGCCCUUAUUUUAAAGUUUUUUAACUCCGUUUGAACUAUACCCGAGAUCACCAGUCAAUGAUUCGGGGUUUCACAACACGCAGGCCUAUCGAGACGACGGCCUAGUUCUUGUUAAGGGAAAGAUCCUGGGCGUUGUUUACAUGUAGUCCUCGAGGUUGCCACAGACAAGGAGGUCAUAGAAGGACCAAAAGGAGAGACUGAGAUCUACUCUGACAGCCAGGCGGCCCUAAAUACACUGUUUGGUGUUAGGAUGAGCAGUACACUGAUCCAGGAGGGCUGGGAUACCCUGAAUAAAGUGGCAAAACCGAACCUAGUGUAGAUUACGGCGCACAUGAGGUUCGCGUGGAUCUUCUGAGAGCCCAAUAACUGCCGAACCUCACAUAGGGCUAAGUAACAGACAGGUAGCAGGCGUACUUAACGACUGGGCUCUUAAAAGUACCACAGUCGUGGAGAAAGGCGGAAGGCUGUAGACAAAUCAAAGAGUUAUUGGAAUGCCAGGCGACGCCAAGACAACGUCCAAAUGGCUGAUGCCAUGGAGUCGCUGGGCCCUGAGAACUCUGGUUGAGGUCAUGGCAGGCCACUGCGGUCUGAACAGACACCUACACCUACUUGGAAUCGGUGACAGCCCCGUAUGUCCACAAUGUGGAACGGCGGAGAAAAUAUUGUUUCACCUGCUAGGAGUAUGCCACCAUUGGUCGUCCUUAAGGAGGCGCGUGCUUGGGGCCUCCACACUCUCCUGCACGGAACUGUCUUUGCUAGAGUGAGACGGGACGCCUGGGUGGUGAAGAUGAGGCGGGGGUGAAUGGAGGGGGAAUGGUGAAAAGGGCCUUUAAGGUCUACUCGCCCGACCCGUUUGGAUCCCCCCACAGUACUACUACUACUACCAGCAUCACAGUAGCGGCUGUGGAAAUUAAAAGUAACGUUUAAGUAACAUAAAAUAAAGCGAGAACCACGUAUUAACAAAAAACAAAUUUCAUUAUAACUAGAAUAACGUGCAUGCGAAUAACUAAAGGGGCUUAAAUUUAUCCUAACAAAACAAUACGCUCCAUAAGUGGUGAAGUCACAAAUAAGACAUAUUCAGGGACUGUAUCUAAGCAAAGCAAAUUUGCAUUGGAAUUAGAUACAAAGUUUCCAAAGUGUGCUGAUUAUCUUAACAGUGAAGAAAAAGAAGCAUUUGCAGUAUUUGCAUUUAGGAGUGUCUUAGUAACGAUUCUACAUUGAAAUCAUAGCGUAAUUAUUAGUGGUUGUAUUUAUUUUUCACGAAAGUGUCUUGGUCACCUCAAACUUGAUGUGAAUGGAAAGCAGAUUUCAUAUUAGUAACUGUGUUAAAACCUGUUAUUUGUAUUUAAAUGUUAUAGAAUAAUGGUUAUGUGUUGGGCUCCUGAAUAUAAAAAUUAUGAGGAUCGUAAAAA
Long non-coding RNA from Dendroctonus ponderosae (mountain pine beetle), 4557 nucleotides. RefSeq lists it as uncharacterized. The record is from RefSeq and is a predicted model, not a curated record. NCBI's taxonomy places the organism in Eukaryota, Metazoa, Arthropoda, Insecta, Coleoptera, Curculionidae. The transcript is spliced from 2 exons.